GGGCUUUGAUGAGAUACCGAGAAAGUCACGCACCACUCUGAUAAUCUUAUCUCAGGCGAUGAUAAAUUUCUCUCACCCAUAUAGGCUC
Small nucleolar RNA from Coffea arabica (coffee), 88 nucleotides. RefSeq annotates it as small nucleolar RNA Z221/R21b. The record is from RefSeq and is a predicted model, not a curated record. NCBI's taxonomy places the organism in Eukaryota, Viridiplantae, Streptophyta, Magnoliopsida, Gentianales, Rubiaceae.